GUCUAUAGCCAUGCCACCCUGAACAAGCCUGAUGUCUGAUCUCGGAAGCCAAGCAGUGUUGGGCCUGGUUAGUACUUGGAUGGGAGACCACCUAGGAAGACCAGGUGCUGUAGGCA
Molecule: ribosomal RNA, 116 nt
Filed under: Pteropus alecto (black flying fox)
Lineage: Eukaryota; Metazoa; Chordata; Mammalia; Chiroptera; Pteropodidae
Source: RNAcentral